Molecule: ribosomal RNA, 460 nt
Filed under: uncultured bacterium
Lineage: Bacteria
Description: partial 16S ribosomal RNA
Rfam family: Bacterial small subunit ribosomal RNA
Source: RNAcentral
CCUACGGGUGGCAGCAGUGAGGAAUAUUGGUCAAUGGCCGUAAGCCUGAACCAGCCAAGUCGCGUGAAGGAAGAAUGCUCUAUGGGUUGUAAACUUCUUUUAUAGGGGAAUAAAGGUAUCCACGUGUGGAUAUUUGCAUGUACCCUAUGAAUAAGCAUCGGCUAACUCCGUGCCAGCAGCCGCGGUAAUACGGAGAAUGCGAGCGUUAUCCGGAUUUAUUGGGUUUAAAGGGUGCGUAGGUUGUUUGUUAAGUCAGCGGUGAAAGUUUGUGGCUCAACCAUAAAAUUGCAGUUGAGACUGGAAGCCUUGAGUGUGUUUGAGGUAGGCGGAAUGCGUGGUGUAGCGGUGAAAUGCAUAGAUAUCACGAAGAACUCCGAUUGCGAAGGCAGCUUACUAAGCCAUAACUGACACUGAAGCACGAAAGCGUGGGGAUCAAACAGGAUUAGAUACCCGAGUAGUC